This is a non-coding RNA of Candidatus Schekmanbacteria bacterium RBG_13_48_7, 74 nucleotides long. The record is from Rfam. Lineage: Bacteria; Candidatus Schekmaniibacteriota.
GCGCCUGUAGCUCACCUGGAUAGAGCGUCGGACUCCGGAUCCGAAGGUUGCAGGUUCGAUCCCUGUCAGGCGCA